UAGACAGAUUUUUGUAUUCGACUGUAUUCCCGACGUAAAAUAGGGGAUUACAGCUAUUUUUAAACAGAAAGUGAAUCAAUUAACAUAAUAGACUCCU
Molecule: microRNA precursor, 97 nt
Filed under: Nicotiana sylvestris (wood tobacco)
Lineage: Eukaryota; Viridiplantae; Streptophyta; Magnoliopsida; Solanales; Solanaceae
Also listed under: 1 other name
Description: MIR6152 microRNA precursor family
Rfam family: MIR6152 microRNA precursor family
Source: Rfam by way of RNAcentral